UAUUAAAAAUUUUAUCGAUUUCAUUUGUUAAAAAUUUAUGUGACUGGAAGAAUAAUCAGAUAAUUACAUGUGAUGUGUCACAUGUACCUUUUGUUAAUACACAAUGACAAGUUUUUAUUAAUAAAAAUUGAUGAAUUUUUAACA
Molecule: microRNA precursor, 144 nt
Filed under: Gossypium arboreum
Lineage: Eukaryota; Viridiplantae; Streptophyta; Magnoliopsida; Malvales; Malvaceae
Description: MIR7502 microRNA precursor family
Rfam family: MIR7502 microRNA precursor family
Source: Rfam by way of RNAcentral